UCGUAACAAGGUUUCCGUAGGUGAACCUGCGGAAGGAUCAUUAAUUAUGUUAAAGCGCCUUACCUCUUAGGGUUUCCUCUGGGGUAAGUGAUUGCUUCUACACUGUGAAAAUUUGGCUGAGAGACUCAGACUGGUCAUGGGUAGACCUAUCUGGGGUUUGAUCGAUGCCACUCCUGGUUUCAGGAGCACCCUUCAUAAUAAACCUAGAAAUUCAGUAUUAUAAAGUUUAAUAAAAAACAACUUUUAACAAUGGAUCUCUUGGUUCUCGCAUCGAUGAAGAACGUAGCAAAGUGCGAUAACUAGUGUGAAUUGCAUAUUCAGUGAAUCAUCGAGUCUUUGAACGCAGCUUGCACUCUAUGGUUUUUCUAUAGAGUACGCCUGCUUCAGUAUCAUCACAAACCCACACAUAACAUUUGUUUAUGUGGUAAUGGGUCGCAUCGCUGUUUUAUUACAGUGAGCACCUAAAAUGUGUGUGAUUUUCUGUCUGGCUUGCUAGGCAGGAAUAUUACGCUGGUCUCAGGAUCUUUUUCUUUGGUUCGCCCAGGAAGUAAAGUACAAGAGUAUAAUCCAGCAACUUUCAAACUAUGAUCUGAAGUCAGGUGGGAUUACCCGCUGAACCUAAGCAUAUCA
This 630-nucleotide unclassified non-coding RNA is filed under the name Rhizopus arrhizus. RNAcentral's name for it is "sequence contains 18S rRNA gene, ITS1, 5.8S rRNA gene, ITS2, 28S rRNA gene". The stretch from base 239 to 392 matches the Rfam family "5.8S ribosomal RNA". Lineage: Eukaryota; Fungi; Mucoromycota; Mucoromycetes; Mucorales; Rhizopodaceae. The record is from RNAcentral.